UAAUGUGGGUCAAGAUAAUAAGAGUUUACGGUGGAUGCCUUGGAGCCAAAAGCCGAAGAAGGGCGCGGUAAGACUGCGAUAAGCCUCGGUGAGCUGUCUGACAAGCUUAGCCGGGGAUUCCCGAAUUAGGAAACUUAUUACGGGUUGUGCCGUAAUAUCCGCAUAGCGGAAGGUAAGUGGGAGAACUGAAACAUCUAAGUAUCCCGAGGAAAAGAAAUCUACCAGAGAUUCCCUUAGUAGUGGCGAACGAAAUGGGAAGAGCACAAACCGAUAUUGCUUAGUGGAUUGAGGUCCUAUGUAAUGUCGGGGUUGUAACACUCGCCUGCCUGAACCUCAGAUAAGGUAAGGAGUAAAAAAUCUUUCAUUUAGUUGAACGCAUCUGGAAAGAACGACCAUAGAAGGUGAUAGUCCUGUAAGCGAAAAAUGUUAGACUCCUGGCGAUGUUGUUGAGUACCACGGGACACGUGAAAUCCUGUGGGAAACUGGGGGGACCACCCUCCAAUGCUAAAUACUUUUGGCUACCGAUAGUGAACAAGUACUGUGAGGGAAAGGUGAAAAGUACCCCGAGAGGGGAGUGAAAUAGACCUGAAACCGUAAACUUACAAGCCGUGGGAGCCGAUUUCGAUCGGUGACCGCGUGCCUAUUGAAGAAUG
This 653-nucleotide ribosomal RNA is filed under the name Chloroflexota bacterium. Its description in RNAcentral is "bacterial LSU rRNA". It matches the Rfam family "Bacterial large subunit ribosomal RNA", at positions 1 to 617 of the family's 2925-position model. Lineage: Bacteria; Bacillati; Chloroflexota. The record is from RNAcentral.